GUCAGGCUCUGUCGAGAACAAGCGACAAACCGUCCGCACAAAACAUAACACGUUUCCAUGGAGGAGGGAGAAAAAAAAAAAAAACCAACCAACAACCAUGUCUCCGCACUGCCAGGCUGGCUUUAAAAUGCUACCUCUGGGCUCUGUGCCCCCCUCUCGGGGUGAAGCUCUUGGAGCCAGACCCUCCGCUCCGUCCCUGCGAGACGCGUCCUCUCCGGCCAGACCAUCCCGAAACGCCUGGCCCUUACCCGUGCCAGCACAGCAACAGCCACCCUGCUCCACAGUUGCUUUAAAUAAUAACCUGCUAGUAAACUUGGAAGAAACGGUGACGUUGUUCUAGGCUAACCACCAUUAAAGCGCUCCUCUGCUGUUUCUCAAUAGAGGUGAAAAGCAUUUUAGCUUCCUGGAAAUGGCCGAAAGAGGCGACGUGUAGAUCAAAGUACGGUAUGGAUCUGUUCUUGGUUUUGCAGGGGUUUUUGGAACUGUAAUGAAAACGUUUCUGCAGCUUGCAUCAUAAUGAGUUAAGUCAGCACGUAAAGCGAUUUUAAAAAAGAGCAGAUUUAGACACCAUUGGCUGCUAACUUUCCUGGGCUUUAAAAUUUAUGUUUAAAUAGAUAUUUGGGUAUUAGUAAUAUCUGCAUUUAAACCUUAACGUUGCAUCUGUUUAACCCUGGAGCAAACUGGCUCUGCCUAGCACAGGCUUUGAAGCGAUUCAGCCAGACCAUAAUACUGUGGGAGCUUAGACAGCUUUGUCCGUACUUGCACCUCUCUGCGCAUUUUUCCAGGACGACGAUCUUUGUCUGCAAUUAAUCAUUGUUCAGGACGGCCGUUCCCGAUGGUAGAAUCCAUGGGCUGCUCCAGCUGGGAGAGGUCCUAAAGCGUGUGCCUGGCGCCGCGUACGUGCAGACCAGGGCCAGAAAUUGCUGGGGCAGCAGGCGUUGUACAGCGAGCCCGCCGUGCCGGCCCAGUGAAUUGUGUGGGUCCUCAGCACUUCUGGAAAGUGUUUUUGAGCUGCUGAUGGAGAACAGGGUUCUCUUUGCUUCCUAACACCUUCCCCUGCACGUUGUCUUUCCUUUUCCCCACACGAUUCCUGCCAGCAGUCCAGGAAUUCUUGCUGCUCGCAGCGUGCAGGAAGUGGUUCCUGUGGCAGUAAAUCAUCACAAACGCCUGCUGUGGUGUAUAAGAAGGUGGGGAAUGAGACCAAAAGAGAUUCUAGUUCCACCACCACUCAAUCGCCCACAUGAAAAAAUACUUUAUGGUCCCAGUGCCCAACGUGCAAUUGGCUGUGUAACAGGAAAUGCCCGUAGAGCUGGCAGGGAAGCGGGGGAGCUACACGUUCCUCUCUACAGCUCCUCCAGACAGAGGAUUGAGGGGCACAUUUGCACAGGAGGGUGGGGAGAGAAAUUAAAGCUUGAGCAGCUGUUGCCCUCCUCUUUGGCUAGCCCUGGCUUGCUUGUUGGAGGUCUGUGGAUUGAGAACACUUCUCCAGGUCCAAAACUAACUCCAAAAAGGGAAACAGAGGUGCCCACCCUGAUCUGUAGUGGAAAGGAUUUGCUGUGGGCUCUGUGUGUGUGUGUUUCAAACCAAUAAAAAACUUGAGAAAUAAA
Long non-coding RNA from Calidris pugnax (ruff), 1607 nucleotides. RefSeq lists it as uncharacterized. Lineage: Eukaryota; Metazoa; Chordata; Aves; Charadriiformes; Scolopacidae. The transcript is spliced from 2 exons. The record is from RefSeq and is a predicted model, not a curated record.